CCCAAGUGUUGGCUCGUAAGAGUCAUCUGUUUCUUUGUCUAAAAAACAGAGAGAGUAAGGGCUGGGUAAGACGGGUGCCAGCCGCCGCGGUAAUACCUGCAGCCCAAGUGGUGGUCGUUAUUAUUGGGCCUAAAACGUCCGUAGCCGGUUUUGUAAAUGCCUAGGUAAAUCGUACGGCUUAACCGUACGAAUUCUGGGUAGACUGUAAAACUUGAGAUCGGGAGAGGCUAGAGGUACUCCUGGGGUAGAGGUGAAAUUCUGUAAUCCUAGGGGGACCACCAGUGGCGAAGGCGUCUAGCUAGAACGAGUCUGACGGUGAGGGACGAAGCCCUGGGGCGCAAACGGGAUUAGAUACCCCGGUAGUCCAGGGUGUAAACGCUGCUCGCUUGAUGUUAGUCGGGCUCCGAGCCCAACUAGUGUCGGAAAGAAGUUGUUAAGCGAGCUGCCUGGGGAGUACGGUCGCAAGACUGAAACUUAAAGGAAUUGGCGGGGGAGCACCGCAACGGGUGGAGCGUGCGGUUUAAUUGGAUUCAACGCCGGAAAACUCACCGGGGGCGACGGUUAUAUGAAAGCCAGGCUGAUGACCUUGCUUGAUUUUCCGAGAGGUGGUGCAUGGCCGUCGUCAGUUCGUACCGUGAGGCGUUCUGUUAAGUCAGACAACGAACAAGACCCUCAUCUUUAGUUGCCACUAGUAAGUUCGCUUAUUAGGCACACUAGAGAAACCGCUGGUGAUAAAUCAGAGGAAGGAGAGGGCAACGGUAGGUCAGUAUGCCCUGAAUCCCCCGGGCUACACGCGCGCUACAAAGGCUAGGACAAUGGGUUUCGACACCGAAAGGUGAAGGUAAUCCCGAAACCUAGUCAUAGUUCGGAUUGAGGGUUGUAACUCACCCUCAUGAAGUUGGAAUCCGUAGUAAUCGCGGAUCAACAUUCCGCGGUGAAUACGCCCCUG
This 949-nucleotide ribosomal RNA is filed under the name uncultured euryarchaeote. RNAcentral's name for it is "bacterial SSU rRNA". It matches the Rfam family "Archaeal small subunit ribosomal RNA", at positions 380 to 1332 of the family's 1478-position model. The record is from RNAcentral. Lineage: Archaea; Methanobacteriati; Methanobacteriota.